This 468-nucleotide ribosomal RNA is filed under the name uncultured bacterium. Its description in RNAcentral is "partial 16S ribosomal RNA". It matches the Rfam family "Bacterial small subunit ribosomal RNA", at positions 28 to 507 of the family's 1533-position model. The record is from RNAcentral.
GACGAACGCUGGCGGCGUGCUUAACACAUGCAAGUCGAACGGAAAGGCCCUGCUUUUGUGGGGUGCUCGAGUGGCGAACGGGUGAGUAACACGUGAGUAACCUGCCCUUGACUUUGGGAUAACUUCAGGAAACUGGGGCCAAUACCGGAUAGGAGCUCCUGCUGCAUGGUGGGGGUUGGAAAGUUUCGGCGGUUGGGGAUGGACUCGCGGCUUAUCAGCUUGUUGGUGGGGUAGUGGCUUACCAAGGCUUUGACGGGUAGCCGGCCUGAGAGGGUGACCGGCCACAUUGGGACUGAGAUACGGCCCAGACUCCUACGGGAGGCAGCAGUGGGGAAUAUUGCACAAUGGGCGGAAGCCUGAUGCAGCAACGCCGCGUGCGGGAUGACGGCCUUCAGGUUGUAAACCGCUUUCGCCUGUGACGAAGCGUGAGUGACGGUAAUGGGUAAAGAAGCACCGGCUAACUACGUG